GUCCCUGUAGCGCAAUGGAUAGCAUGUUGGACUUCUAAUCCAAGGGGCUUGGGUUCGAAUCCCACUUGGGAUG
This 73-nucleotide transfer RNA is filed under the name Trichonephila inaurata madagascariensis. It matches the Rfam family "tRNA". Rfam says of the family: Transfer RNA (tRNA) molecules are approximately 80 nucleotides in length. The record is from Rfam by way of RNAcentral. Lineage: Eukaryota; Metazoa; Arthropoda; Arachnida; Araneae; Nephilidae.